RNAcentral lists this ribosomal RNA (301 nucleotides) under uncultured bacterium. RNAcentral's name for it is "partial 16S ribosomal RNA". It matches the Rfam family "Bacterial small subunit ribosomal RNA", at positions 509 to 807 of the family's 1533-position model. The record is from RNAcentral.
CAGUCGCCGCGGGAAUACGGAGGGUGCAAGCGUUAAUCGGAAUUACUGGGCGUAAAGGGUGCGUAGGCGGUUAUAUAAGACAGAUGUGAAAUCCCCGGGCUCAACCUGGGAAAUGCAUUUGUGACUGUAUAGCUAGAGUACGGCAGAGGGGGAUGGAAUUCCGCGUGUAGCAGUGAAAUGCGUAGAUAUGCGGAGGAACACCGAUGGCGAAGGCAAUCCCCUGGGCCUGUACUGACGCUCAUGCACGAAAGCGUGGGGAGCAAACAGGAUUAGAUACCCCCGUAGUCCCUGUCUCUUAUAC